RNAcentral lists this ribosomal RNA (374 nucleotides) under uncultured organism. RNAcentral's name for it is "partial 16S ribosomal RNA". It matches the Rfam family "Bacterial small subunit ribosomal RNA", at positions 527 to 896 of the family's 1533-position model. The record is from RNAcentral.
GAGGGGUGCAAGCGUUAUUCGGAAUUAUUGGGCGUAAAGGGUGUGUAGACGGCGUAUUAAGUCAAUUGUUAAAUUCUUCGGGCCUAACCGAAGGGUGAGCGGUAGAAACUGAUAUGCUAGAGGGUGGAAGAGAGAAGUGGAAUUCUCGGAGUAGCGGUAAAAUGCGUAGAUCUCGAGAGGAACACCAAUGGCGAAGGCAGCUUCUUAGUCCAUUCCUGACGUUGAGACACGAAAGCGUGGGGAGCAAACAGGAUUAGAUACCCUGGUAGUCCACGCUGUAAACGAUGAUCACUAGACGUUAGUCCUGUUCUACAGGAUUAGUGUCGUAGCUAACGCGUUAAGUGAUCCGCCUGGGGAUUACGGUCGCAAGACUA